AUGCCGCCCUCGGCCUCGCUUCGGAGGCCGCGCAGCCGGCAGGCCGGCUUCCCUCCCGAGGCCUCCCCGACCAAGCCGCGCCUCCAAGGGGCCGCCUGUGCAGCCGAAGGUGAAGGCGAGGCGGGCGAGGGGCCCCAAGGAGGUCUCCAACUCUCGCUCCCCUCCCCCUCCCACAGCCUGUCUCAACGCAAGAGCGCGGGACGGCCGACCCGGUCCACCCGGCCUCCCCGCUCCCACCGAACCAGGCCCCCAACGCCGGCCAUUCCCCACCAACCCCCCGCUCUCCCCCUAAUACCUCCUCCCCCCGGCGGCGACGGCGACGGCCGGAGUCGGGCUGGGGGCGACCGGGCGGCGGUUUUACCUCCAUUUUGAGACCGGACUCGCCUCUUCCAACUCGAGUUCAAUAUGGGACCGAGAGGAAGAGGCGGGGCCAGUCGUCACGUGACGCGUUUUCCGCGCGCCGCCAGUCUGUUGGGGGAGGAGCGAAUUGGGAAGGGGGCGGAGCCAAGCGGGCGCGAAGAGGGACUGGACCAGCGGGUUGGCGGGCGGAGGGCGGAGGCGCGGCGUGCCGCGGGAGCGCGCGCGCCUCGCCAGCUUUCAGGGGAAGAGGGCCUUUGCCGCCGUUCGCGUCAGGGCGAGUUCCGGGACGUCAGUGCGGUCUCCGCCAAUGUAUGGAUUUGACAAUGCCUUUGAUUGACCUCGCAGCUGCUCAUCACACAAAA
RNAcentral lists this long non-coding RNA (722 nucleotides) under Homo sapiens (human). RNAcentral describes it as "HSALNT0307470". Lineage: Eukaryota; Metazoa; Chordata; Mammalia; Primates; Hominidae. The record is from RNAcentral.